Molecule: long non-coding RNA, 235 nt
Filed under: Helianthus annuus (common sunflower)
Lineage: Eukaryota; Viridiplantae; Streptophyta; Magnoliopsida; Asterales; Asteraceae
Description: sRNA HanXRQr2_Chr15g0714131
Source: RNAcentral
UGGUUAUUUCACAAGAACAACAAAGCAACCUCAGUCUCAAGGCUUGGAUGUAUGCAUAGAGCUAUUCCAUAGGGCGAUGAUCAUGAUUCUAGGGCGGACCUGUGCCUUAGAGCCUAAAAACGAAGCUAGACUAGUUUAAUCAUGUUAUAAACUUUGUAUUUUCCUGUUUUGAAACAAUGGAACACUCUUGUCAAUAAAUAAAAUGUAACUUUAAUUUCCAUGGUUGUAUAACAAU